CUAGGAGUGACCUGAUCCACCUAUUCAAGAUAUGAAUUUGCUUCUCAAAAUUUGCAAUAAAUAAAGCUUUACAUGCUACAGAAGAGAUGGAUACAAAGUGAUGUGGAGACACGGAUGGGGCAAUCCCACCCGAGAAGGGGAAGCAAAGACCUACAGAAGGAUGACACUUGAACUGGACCUUGUGGGCUAAGUGUUUGCCGACCCACAGCAUAAACAAAGGCAGUCCAGGAUCAUUUGGUUGAGGAGGAAAUGUUCUUCCAUAUCUCAGCACUCCUUAGGAGAUACUUAGAGUGCAGUGAAAU
This 302-nucleotide long non-coding RNA is filed under the name Equus caballus (horse). Its description in RNAcentral is "lncRNA (ENSECAG00000049512.1)". Lineage: Eukaryota; Metazoa; Chordata; Mammalia; Perissodactyla; Equidae. The record is from RNAcentral.